UACCAGCACCCCGAGUGGUCGGGACGUUUAUUGGGCCUAAAGCAUCCGUAGCCGGUUCUACAAGUCUUCCGUUAAAUCCAGCUGCUCAACAGAUGGGCUGCGGAAGAUACUAUGGAGCUAGGAGGCGGGAGAGGCAAGCGGUACUCGAUGGGUAGGGGUAAAAUCCGUUGAUCCAUUGAAGACCACCAGUGGCGAAGGCGGCUUGCCAGAACGCGCUCGACGGUGAGGGAUGAAAGCUGGGGGAGCAAACCGG
RNAcentral lists this ribosomal RNA (253 nucleotides) under uncultured bacterium. RNAcentral's name for it is "partial 16S ribosomal RNA". It matches the Rfam family "Archaeal small subunit ribosomal RNA", at positions 474 to 727 of the family's 1478-position model. The record is from RNAcentral.